UGAAGAAUAUUGCGCAAUGGGGGCAACCCUGACGCAGCAACGCCGCGUGAAGGAUGAAGGUUUUCGGAUUGUAAACUUCUUUUAUCAAGGACGAAGGACGUGACGGUACUUGAUGAAUAAGCCACGGCUAACUACGUGCCAGCAGCCGCGGUAAUACGUAGGUGGCAAGCGUUAUCCGGAUUUACUGGGUGUAAAGGGCGAGUAGGCGGGCAGACAAGUCAGAUGUGAAAUCUGGGGGCUUAACCCCCUAAACUGCAUUUGAAACUGUAGGUCUUGAGUGAUGGAGAGGCAGGCGGAAUUCCCGGUGUAGCGGUGGAAUGCGUAGAUAUCGGGAGGAACACCAGUGGCGAAGGCGGCCUGCUGGACAUUAACUGACGCUGAGGAGCGAAAGCGUGGGGAGCAAACAGGAUUAGAUACCC
RNAcentral lists this ribosomal RNA (419 nucleotides) under uncultured bacterium. Its description in RNAcentral is "bacterial SSU rRNA". It matches the Rfam family "Bacterial small subunit ribosomal RNA", at positions 355 to 787 of the family's 1533-position model. The record is from RNAcentral.